RNAcentral lists this ribosomal RNA (710 nucleotides) under uncultured bacterium. RNAcentral describes it as "bacterial SSU rRNA". It matches the Rfam family "Bacterial small subunit ribosomal RNA", at positions 94 to 823 of the family's 1533-position model. The record is from RNAcentral.
AGCGGCGGACGGGUGAGUAACGCGUGGGUAACCUGCCCUAUACACACGGAUAACAUACCGAAAGGUAUGCUAAUACGAGAUAAUAUAAGAGAUUCACAUGGAUUUCUUAUCAAAGCUGAGGCGGUAUAGGAUGGACCCGCGUCUGAUUAGCUAGUUGGUAAGGCAACGGCUUACCAAGGCGACGAUCAGUAGCCGACCUGAGAGGGUGAUCGGCCACAUUGGAACUGAGACACGGUCCAAACUCCUACGGGAGGCAGCAGUGGGGAAUAUUGCACAAUGGGCGAAAGCCUGAUGCAGCAACGCCGCGUGAGUGAUGAAGGCCUUCGGGUCGUAAAACUCUGUCCUCAAGGAAGAUAAUGACGGUACUUGAGGAGGAAGCCCCGGCUAACUACGUGCCAGCAGCCGCGGUAAUACGUAGGGGGCUAGCGUUAUCCGGAUUUACUGGGCGUAAAGGGUGCGUAGGUGGUCUCUUAAGUCAGGAGUGAAAGGCUACGGCUUAACCGUAGUAAGCUCUUGAAACUGGGAGACUUGAGUGCAGGAGAGGAAAGUGGAAUUCCUAGUGUAGCGGUGAAAUGCGUAGAUAUUAGGAGGAACACCAGUAGCGAAGGCGGCUUUCUGGACUGUAACUGACACUGAGGCGCGAAAGCGUGGGGAGCAAACAGGAUUAGAUACCCUGGUAGUCCACGCCGUAAACGAUGAGUACCAGGUGU